RNAcentral lists this ribosomal RNA (252 nucleotides) under uncultured bacterium. Its description in RNAcentral is "partial 16S ribosomal RNA". It matches the Rfam family "Bacterial small subunit ribosomal RNA", at positions 524 to 775 of the family's 1533-position model. The record is from RNAcentral.
UACGUAGGGUGCAAGCGUUAAUCGGAAUUACUGGGCGUAAAGCGUGCGCAGGCGGUUAUGUAAGACAGGUGUGAAAUCCCCGGGCUUAACCUGGGAACUGCAUUUGUGACUGCAUAGCUAGAGUACGGUAGAGGGGGAUGGAAUUCCGCGUGUAGCAGUGAAAUUCGUAGAUAUCGGGAGGAACACCAGUGGCGAAGGCGGCGAUCUGGGAAGAUACUGACGCUGAGGUGCGAAAGCGUGGGGAGCAACAGG